UUUUUUUUUUUUUUUGAGAAGAGAGAAGCAAGGGCUACUAAAAGGUGUAAACAAUUUAAUGGGUAUCAAAAGGUAAUGACAAAACUCAUUCAGACCAUUGCAAGCUGACUGACAGGUGAGUUGAUAAUAAAUUUGGGGAAAACAUCACUAAUCCAGAGUGUUCUGAUCAUGGGGUCUCCACCAUUGGUGCCCCAUUUUUGCUCCUUCUUCCACAAGCUGAAUUGCAUUGUGACCUCUGCAUUUCAGGAAUGUGACUCCUGUCCUUGACCUCCUCUGCAGAUAAAUACAACUUGUCCUUUAGUGUCGAGCGGUUUGGGAAGAACGUCAGGCAGACAAGAGAGGGGAGGUAGAGGAAAGACAGGUGAGGAUGUUUUAUAUCUGCUCUUCUUCUGAACCAUCAAAACAGGGUCUCAGCACAUGCAAGUGCAGGCUCCAGCCACAACAAGGGGGAAGAAACAAUCCAUAAGAAAGGGGGGCAGGUGAGUUCCCCCAGCCCCUGGCUCUGCAGGCUCUGGAUUGGGAGCUUUCAGACAGUGGGUGCCUGUACACAGCUCUGCUGGGACCUGCCUGGGCUGGGAAUGCUGCACGGGUGAGCUGGUCCAGGGCAAGGGCUGGGCUGCCUGCCUCAGCCUGGGCAAGAACACUAACAAAACACAAGCCCACCAGAGUGUAUCCCAAAAUCUGCUUCUUGUGCUGGCAAGGCAAGAACAAGUGGUGGUGUUUCUGUGCUGGGAGUAUUGCUGGAAUGAUCUGCUGUCAGUCUAGGCUGUGAUGGGAGCUGGGCUCUCUGCUUCUGCAGUGUGGGAAUUGCCUUUUCCAGCUGCCAAUCUCAAAGUCAAGCUUUCUGAGCACAAAUAAAAUGGGAUAUUGCGCACACACACAACCCUUUUCAACUGUCACUGAUAUUUAGCAGAGGGAAUAUUCAAAACAUUAUUCCCUCCAAUACAGAAUGGCUGCUGGGUGUUGCCAGACCAUGUGAAAUAACAGCUGAGUGGAAUUUUAUCAGCAACAAACAAGAAACAAAUGAAGAAGGGAGGAUUAAAAAAUUCUCUUUUUUUUUCCUAUCUAUACUAUGAUUUGUUAUGUAGGUAUGUACAACAUAAUGUUACUUGUUACAGAAGGGAAUGUUACCGUGUCAAGCACCAGUUAGGGACAAGUUGGGGAGCAGGAGGGUGGUACUUUCACAUAUUACUGGGGUCAGCACGAAUCCUCCACUACUUUAAUUAAGAGGGGAUCAAAAGGUUUGAUGGGAUGGAGAAAUACAAGGAGGUUAAAAUGUGGCAGGUAUGGGCAACCUCAUGUACACAGACCUUUGCCUCAGAAAGCAGAAUGUUCUUGCAAAUCUGACACAAUCCAAUUCCUUGACUUCCUCAGUGACAUUUCUGCAGGCUCAUGCACAGAAGGACAGGGAAAUGGAGAUUUAUGACAGCUAUUCCUAGCAAAGGUCAUUUUUCAAUUGGUGAACAACCUGUCCUUAGUCACGCCAAUGACGAGGCAUUGAAGGAUAAGGGAGAGGCUGGAGAGCUUUAAAGCCUGACGGAAUAAUAGAAAUACAGCAUAGAUCAUCCCUCUACUUGGGCCAGGAAGUUUGACUUUUUCCACCAGCAGUCAAAGCCAUGGAACAGGAGGCAAAAUCCAGAAAAAAAAAUACACAGGGAUUUCUGUCGAGAUUGUGACUGGAGAUUUCUGUGGAGAUUGUGAGUCUGAGUGUCGAGACAGCAAGGGGAAAAGAGGAGCCACAGAGCAUGAGCUUUUGGCUAGGAAGGGUGUCCUUGGUGAUUAUAAAGAGCAGGGUUAGGUUGCUCUGGGGCUUCCCUGGCCAGCCCCACCAAGCUCCCAGCUUGAGCAGCUCUCAGCAUCCUGUGCUGUGCCACUUCCAGGGCAACACAGAUGAUACACAAACAACACAAAUACACACAAAUGAACUUCCUCAGCUGUCCUUCCACAGGCAAGGAAGGCAGCAGAUGUGACACACGUAUGGUUUAAAUAGAUUGUGUCAUACACAUUAAAUAAUAAAACAGUACCUACCCAUUCAUGACAUGACUAUUCUUCCUGCUUGCAGAAGAGAUUUGACACUGUACAUAAAGUAAAGCACCGUUUUUUUUUGUAAUCAGAAGGACCCUUCUGGGAGUUACACAAGAGUUUUUCACUCAGCUACUGACAUUAAAAGAGAGCACUGAGUACCUUGGUGUAACCAGCUUGUUUUCAAGCUCAUAAUAUUGGAUUAAGUAAAAAUGUGACCAUUUGCCCAAAGCUUGGCUCAGAUCCUGAGCUGACGAUGGUUUGAGCUGGGCCAUUGUCACAAAUCGGGCUCGUGGCCAGCAGGACCAGUCAAGAGAUGUUUGCAAUUUGGAAAUGAAGUCAACACAGGGGUCCUUGCUGACCCAUCUGAGUGCUCUGACCCAAGGAGGAGCUUUGGGGCUCCUCAUCCCUGUCCUUGCUAAUCCCUUUUUGCCAUUUAUUGGCUCCCCUGGGCUCUGAGCUGCCAGCAGAAGUCACAAGAGCUUUUGAGUUGGUCUGGUGUAAGACUCAGUAACCUGAGAAUGCUGUGGUGGCCUCUGGCUUCCAAUCUGCAGCUGAAGAUCUCACCCUUCCUCCCACAGUAAUUCCUCUCACCCUCUGAAACCUCCCAAGCUUUCCCCAAAAUCACAAGAACUGAGGAUGGCUGCUCUUAAAAGCUGUAAACCAGAUAAUCUGUAGGAUAAUUGCCUGUGUUGUAUUUCUCCCCACACAACAAAGGCAAAAGCAGCCUUACACUGUGUACCUCCCAGCCUGGUGUAACUUGAACCCAAAAGCUAUGAAGGAAAUGGAAAAUGUUAAUAAAUAAUGAUGUUUGAAA
This 2839-nucleotide long non-coding RNA is filed under the name Taeniopygia guttata (zebra finch). Its description in RNAcentral is "lncRNA (ENSTGUG00000025563.1)". Lineage: Eukaryota; Metazoa; Chordata; Aves; Passeriformes; Estrildidae. The record is from RNAcentral.